Molecule: ribosomal RNA, 498 nt
Filed under: uncultured bacterium
Lineage: Bacteria
Description: partial 16S ribosomal RNA
Rfam family: Bacterial small subunit ribosomal RNA
Source: RNAcentral
AUUGAACGCUGGCGGCAUGCCUUACACAUGCAUGUCGAACGGUAACAGGUCUUCGGAUGCUGACGAGUGGCGAACGGGUGAGUAAUACAUCGGAACGUGCCUAGUAGUGGGGGAUUACUACUCGAAAGAGUGGCUAAUAACGCAUGAGCUUUACGGUUGAAAGCAGGGGAUCGCAAGACCUUGUGCUACUAGAGCGGCCGAUGGCAGAUUAGGUAGUUGGUGGGAUAAAAGCUUACCAAGCCGACGAUCUGUAGCUUGUCUAAGAGGACAAUCAGCCACAGUGGGACUGAAACACGGCCAAGACUCCUACGGGAGGCAGCAGUGCGGAAGUUUGGACAAUGAGCGCAAGGCUGAUCCAGCAAUGCAGCGUGUAGGAUGAAGGCCUUGAGGUUGUAAACUGCUUUUGUACGGAACGAAAAGCCCUGGGUUAAUACCCUGGGGUCAUGACGGUACCGUAAGAAUAAGCACCGGCUAACUACGCGCCAGCCGCCGCAGUAA